CAUUUCAGGGAUGUAAUGCAGUACAGGACAUUACCACACUCCUUUCUUCUUUGGAGGAUUCUCCCCUCAAGACUUCAGUGCCACAGAGGGAAGGAGCUAUGCGGAGACCGUCCAGUUCACUGACUACUCCAUGGAACUCAAGAACAACGGUCAUUAGAAAGGAUAAAGGGAAGCAAUCUGUAGCCUCCUCUCUCCCCACCACCCCCUGCAGUUUCUCAUCUCAAUAGGCACACAGGUUCUUUAUCUAGAAGACCUUCAUUAUUUGAAAAUAACUCCCCUAGCCACCUGUGACUGCUUCUUCAGGACCUUUUUAAAAUAUUUUGCAUUUAUCCCUGCUUGCAGUGGAGGAGAUUCUUUAAAACUGCAGAUGUUUUCUGUGUAGCAUUCACAUCUCAUGAAUCACAGGGCUGCCUUGUCAGAAUACACUGAACAACAACUGGCUAUUCACGCAUAGAAAGAAUCCUGAAUGAACUACCCCAGUGAUCUAGAUGGGACAACUGAGAGAGUUAAAGAGAGAAAAGAUCUACCCAAGUCACAAAACAAGUCAAUCCCGGAGUAGAACUCAAGAGCUUUUGGCUCCCAGCUCCACAUGCAUUACUUUGGAUCAUGCCGCCUUGCUGCCAAUAUACUAAUAACAAUUUACUGCACAUCUCAAUACAGUGCAGUAAGUUCUGUGUGCUUAAGCAGAACAAUUCAUUUUUUUCUCAUUAAUACUAAGUCUAUUUGUUGCUCAGCAGGACUAAUAUUUAUACAUUCUAGAUCUUCUGAUGAAGUAGCAAGCUCUGAUUUCAGUUCAAUCUGACAGGUUCUGAGAGCAAAAUGUCAUUAUGGAACUUCAAAAGCACUUGCUCCAUAGCAAGAUCUUUACAAUUAUUUAUAUAAUAUCUUUCAACUCCUGUUGGCUCCUUGAUCUUCUGUGGAAAUCCCAACUCCUCUGCCAGUUUUGGUUUAUGAAAAGUUGACCCUUAAGGCAUAACUAUUUUAAAAAAGAUAUGCCAAAAUGUUACAAGAUAUAGUAGAUUUCACCCAGUUUGAUAUCCCUUCUGGAAUACGCACUUAAUAAAAAUUGCAUUUUUACUAAGUAAUUGGCCAUAUGAAUCAUGUGCUAUUCAUGUAUUGUUCAUGAAUCAAACCAAGAGCCAUUUAAAAAUGACUAGCAUCAGGGAAACUUAAUAGCUUUUCAACAGAUUAUUUAAAUGACUGUAGCUAUGAUUUCCAAUAAUUUUUAUUCAAACAGCAAGGCUUUAGUAAACUGUGGCAGGACUCUCUCCGAAAAGAGUACCUUUCUGAUUAAAACCUUUUGCUACUGGAUUUAAGAAAUUAAAGAAAAAAGGGGAACGUCUGAGUUAUGUAUGCAUCUGUCAAAUCCUGGAUCUUUAUAGUGUAACAAUUUGACCAAUCACAGGUAAAAGAACGGGUGGUUUGGGAGGGAUAUAUUUCACUUUAUGAAUCACAGCUAAUAACGUAGUUAAGUACUUUCUGAACAGGCACUUCCUGCAGACUGACCAACCUGUAGAUUGUGUUCCUAGUAGUUUCUGGUGCAAUAGUUUGGCAUGCAUGAUGCAUUUGGAGAGUGGAUUUGCCAGCAUUCCAGCAACAUAUGCAACUUUAGCUAGGAUUUCUUAUCACAGAUUAGCACCAGUUCGAAUUCCUUGAUUGAUUGAUUGUCUAUACUAUAAAGCCAGAUGUAUUUCACAGCAUCAGCUGUAUUCACCUAUUUCUUUUCUUGUUGUUGCAGCUUGCAUCCUUGACAUGAUUUUGCCAAUGGCUACCUGGCCUCUCAAUACACUGUUGCUUUUCAGGAAUAUUUUCUAAUAAUGACAACUAUAGUUAACAUUUAUAUUUAUACUGUACAAUUAUACUUAACUAUUUAAAAUUUCAAAAAGCUGCAAAACAUUCAUUAAUUUGCCAAAUAAAAUCACUAUGGGGUAGACAAAUAGGAUCAUUACCCCCCAUGUUAUAGAUGAGGAAACUGAGGCUGAAAGAUUAAAUGUCUUGCCCAGUGUCACAUGGCAAGUCUACUGGCAGAAGGAGGGGUAAACUGAAAGUUACCCUUCUGGGUGCAUUCCUCGAGACCGGGUCUCUCACCUUUGUUUAAUAGUGUUGACCAAAUCUUAGUAGAGGGAUUCCCUUGUGGACUCCUCUCUUCUCACUCAGGAUCCCAUGUGAUCUCAACUACAGAAAUUGUUUACAAAGAAAAAUAAUAUUAGGAAAGUGCCAGCCUGCUGUGACCAGCCAGCAACUCCCCGGUCACCAGCAAGUACUCUGUGGACAACCAGCAGUUCACUGAACACAGUCUGAGAAUCACUACCUUAGCACUAUAUCUUGAGGUUUAUUCCUCUAGGUCACAUUGCCUCCUGGUACAGCAAUGUUAACUAAUCCUUUAUUAAACAAGUCUCCAAGCACAAAUAAAGAAUUUGGGUUGUUAACAUACAUAAGUUAUAUUAAAGAAGGUUUCAGAUCAGCACAUUGUAUUUUGUAGCAAAGUCAUAAAAUAUGCUAACAUGAUAACAUCUAAUGAGGGAAAUGUUGCAUGCAGAUGUCUGUUUGCCUAUUAUCCCAUAAAAUGACUGUAUAUUUUUAUUUAUAUGAGUAACAUCAGACACAAAUGUGUUACCAUAAAUGCAUUCAUUUAGGAAAAUGUAUAAACACAAUAUGAAUCUAAUAUAUAUGUAAAACUGUUUUAAAACCUGAUAUUUAAUGUUUAUAUAAAGA
Long non-coding RNA from Mauremys reevesii (Reeves's turtle), 2715 nucleotides. RefSeq lists it as uncharacterized. Lineage: Eukaryota; Metazoa; Chordata; Testudines; Geoemydidae. The transcript has 6 exons. The record is from RefSeq and is a predicted model, not a curated record.